UGUAUUGCAUUUUAAAGCACCGCUGUUGACUCUCUACCAGGUGGCACUAUUUGCCCGCGUGUGCCAUAGGUUAGAGCCUCUGGCCGGGCUGGCUGCCCAUUGUGCCAGCGGCCCCACGCCCAGGUACUGCUCGGCUCACCUGGCGAGGACAGAGCCUCGGGGACCGGGCUGUGGACUGACUGAGAAGUACCGACGCUGUAAAAUCUUCCCAGUUCCGUGGUUCCAUUGGCCAGAGGUGUGGAGGGACGCAUUCUGCAUCUAGGGAGGACAGUAGUGAGAAAAGGGCUUUGCGGCAUCCCAGUUGGGACAGCCUCCGGAAGGGUCCUAACGCCCUGCUCUGGCCACUGGCCUGCCCAGCCUGACAAGGUUACCGCAGGGUGAGCUCACUGUUGUCAAUACGAAGGCAUGAAAAUGGGUCUCACUGUGUUGCCCACAUUGGAGUGCAGUUGUGCGAACACAGAUCACUGCAGCCUCAAACUCCUGGGUUCAAGUGAUCCUCCAGCCUCGGGCCCUGAAGCAGUUGGGACUACAAGUGCACAGUACCACACCCAGCUAAUUUUUGGGUAUUUUUUUUGUAGAGACAGGGUUUCACCAUUUUGCUCAGCCUUGUCUCAAACUCCUGAGCUCAAGGGAUCUACCCACCCCACCCUCCCAAAGUGCUGGGAUUACAGGCAGGAGCCACUGCGUUUAGCCCUACUUCUAAGUCUCUAAAUUUCCCAGGGAAAUCUGUAUUGUCUGGAGACAGAUGCUUUAAUUCAUUAUUUCUCUUAUGUCAACUAAUAUGCAUAAACAGGAGCACCAGCGCAGACUGCCACUGGAAAAUGCAUGGCUUGGGUUACUGUAACAUUUGUGAUUUUCAUUUAGAAUUUUGUAAACAUAAUGACUUUUGAAAACCAUUUCCAAAGCCUCAUAUAUAUGCAAUAUUUUACUUUAGAAGAAACAGUGCAUCGUGUCUGUACAUAUUAGAUAAUUCUCUAUUACUUUCAGAAUCAGAUUAUGUGAACUAGCAAGCCGAUUAUUGGGUUUAAAUUAAAGUAUAAUCAACAUUAUUAAACUACCUUGAUACUUUUAAGGAAAUCAAGCCUCUGAAAUUACAUACCUACUUUAGUAAUAAUUUAUAAACCCAAAUAGGUUAAUUCUUGUCAUGAUAUGCUCAAUAUUUUCCAAGUGUUGUCACCCAUAUAAUUUGGUUCUAAUUAUACCACUCUUAUAUAAAACUGUUGCCAACAGUCAUAUGGUUUUACAUUUUUUCUCAUUAAUACAAAAUAGUUCCAUUCUUGGAGGUAAUUUGACAAGAUUAAAUUCACACAUGCCUUAAUGUAACGAAGACCCUUAAAAAUAAAAAUUGAUUGAGGAUCAUACUAAAUUAUAUCAAACAAUGUACUUUACCUAGUACUUACCUUUAAAGGAAUAUUCAACAAACUUUUGAACAAAAUAGGCAAAUAAUAUUUCUGUACCUAAAUAGCUACACAUUUUAGCACUGAUUAAUAUAGUCUCAGAACUAAUUAUGCACUCAUGCUAUGUUUAUAAAUUUUGAUGUCUUAAUAGGGGGAAAAUGAACCCAUUCUAAAGGAUUUAAAUUUUUUUUAAGUUGAGAUAUUUUUCUGAUUAUGUAAGUAAUUCUUUAUUAGGUUAACAUUGAUUUAUUUAAUAAAUAAACCCUUAAACAUGAAUGGCAUAACAUAGAAAAAAAAUUGGUUUUGCUUACUUAAUAGUCCAAUACAGGCUUGCUUGAUGGCAGGCAGAUUACUUCUAGUGGUAAUUCAAGGAUCCAGGCUAUUUUCUUCUUCUGGCUCCUCUGUCUCCAGGGCCUUAGCAUUCUUUGCAUCCAAAUAAAAGAAGAAUGGGGGACUGGACAAGGAAUAUCUACUUCUUGAUGGCUUGAAACAUAUCACUUCUACUCUGAUUCUCUGGAGGUAAACCACCCAGUCAUAUAACCUCAUCUAAAUGCAAAUAGAGGUUGACAAAUGAGAUUCCUGCCUGGGUAGUAACUUCCCAUAAAUUUUGAUGGCAAGUUUGUUUUCUCUGCCACAGACUAUCCUCUGACCACCAUAUGUCGGUGCUUCUUUCUUCCCUCACACAGAACAUUCUUCUUCCUUCUAAGCUAAGUUCCUAUCCCAUCUGUAUUAUGUUAGUCCAUACUCACAUUGCUAUAAAGAACCACCUGAGACUAAAAAAAAAAAAGGUUUAAUUGACUCACAGUUCCACAGGGUCUAUUGGAAGCAUGGUUGGAAGGACUCAGGAAACUUAUAAUCAUGGUGGAAAGUGAAGGAGAAGCAAGCAUAUCUUAACGAGGAUCCCCAUCUUCUUACCAAAGAUUCCCCAUCUUCUUACCAAAGAUGUGCUUACACCUUUUUAAAAAACCAGAUCUCAUGAGAACUCACUCACAAGACAGUAAGGGGAAAAUCUGCCCCCAUGAUCCAAUCACCUCCCACCAAUCGCUCCCCCAACAUUGGGAAUUAUAAUCCAAGAUGAUUUCUAAUUUGAUUUGGGUAGGGACACAGAGCCAAACAAUAUCACCAUCACUCUAUCCAGCUGCCUGUCCAGGAUCCCUACACACAAUGCACAGUUCUCGCUACUUUAUCCAAAUAGGGCCCAGAACAGUCCUGUGACAUCUAAAGAAAAAGUUUCCUGCCCGUUCCCUUACUACACACUUGCAGUAUAAAAGUUGGACAGUGAAAAGAUUGCUGCCACAACUCUCAUUCGCAAAAGAACCAAUGGUAUAUAAAUACAAAAUUUACUGUUUCUCAGCAAUGACAACAUUUUUCUGUUCAGAUGUAAUGAGGAAAACUUAACUUUGAAGAAGUUCUGCAAAACCUUGACUUAUCUCCUUAUUACUUUUGAUGGCCUCCGGUUUCAAUUUAUUGGAGGUGUGUCUCUGUCUAUUAUCCUCUGUAACUGUAUCUAAAGUGAACAGUGAAGAAUAUUCCCACUCUAGUGGGUAAAACAGUAGUCCCCUCACAACAGUUUACAUCUGAAUCCUUAGUGUGCCAACCUACCCAGUGUUAGCCAGACACACUCAAUUUUGCUUAGAGCCAGACAGCCUUCAUCUUAACCUCCACCUCACCCCUCCUACUAUUUCUCCCUUAAGAGCACACCUGGGUCUUGCUACUGUGCUGGGUCAUGCUGUACUUAGAACUAUAAAAACAUAUAAUACUUGAAAUCAUAUCCUGCUUGGCAAGCCCACUUGCUAUUGUGAAUGCUCCCCCUUAAUUAUAUAACAAGUACCAAAUACCCCCCUUGGUAACCAACAAUCAUGGGAACCUCUUGUGUAUACCCUCCUUGGAAAUCAACAAUCAUAAAAACCUCCUGCCUCCUAGUUACCAGCCUCCUUAUGUACCUUGCUUGUUCUGCUUCUUUAAAUUCUGCUUCAGCUAGGCUCCCCCUCCCCUACCUUAAGCAAGGUAUAAAAAGGAGUCCAGCCCCUUCCUUAGGGCUGAGAAAAUUUUAAGCAUUAGCCACCUCUCAGUGGCUGGCUAAUUAAUGAAAAACUCUCACUUCAAACUCAAAGCAUUGCGCUGUUUCAUCUAACUCACCUGGGUAUAACAUUAGCACCAGUGAAUGUGUCAUAUCGUAUAACAAGGGAAAAUUAGGAUCGUAGAUGGAUGUAGGAUUAUAGAUGGAUGUAGGAUUGCUACCUGACCUUGAGAUGGGGAUAUAAUUCUGGAUUGUCU
RNAcentral lists this long non-coding RNA (3674 nucleotides) under Callithrix jacchus (white-tufted-ear marmoset). Its description in RNAcentral is "lncRNA (ENSCJAG00000083330.1)". Lineage: Eukaryota; Metazoa; Chordata; Mammalia; Primates; Cebidae. The record is from RNAcentral.